This 66-nucleotide ribosomal RNA is filed under the name uncultured bacterium. RNAcentral's name for it is "partial 16S ribosomal RNA". The record is from RNAcentral.
UGGGUUUGACAUCCCGAGUAUUUUCUAGAAAUAGAGAAGUGCCUUCAUUAGGAGGAGCUUGGAGAC